RNAcentral lists this ribosomal RNA (253 nucleotides) under uncultured prokaryote. RNAcentral describes it as "partial 16S ribosomal RNA". It matches the Rfam family "Bacterial small subunit ribosomal RNA", at positions 525 to 777 of the family's 1533-position model. The record is from RNAcentral.
ACGGGGGGUGCGAGCGUUGUCCGGAAUCACUGGGCGUAAAGGGCUCGUAGGCGGUUUGUCGCGUCGGGAGUGAAAACUCAGGGCUUAACUCUGAGCCGGCUUCCGAUACGGGCAGACUAGAGGUAUGCAGGGGAGAACGGAAUUCCUGGUGUAGCGGUGAAAUGCGCAGAUAUCAGGAGGAACACCGGUGGCGAAGGCGGGUCUCUGGGCCGAUACUGACGCUGAGGAGCGAAAGCGUGGGGAGCGAACAGGA